Molecule: ribosomal RNA, 508 nt
Filed under: uncultured bacterium
Lineage: Bacteria
Description: partial 16S ribosomal RNA
Rfam family: Bacterial small subunit ribosomal RNA
Source: RNAcentral
GAUGAACGCUAGCUACAGGCUUAACACAUGCAAGUCGAGGGGAAACGAUAGAGAAAGCUUGCUUUUUCUAGGCGUCGACCGGCGCACGGGUGAGUAACGCGUAUCCAACCUGCCCACCACUUGGGGAUAACCUUGCGAAAGUAAGACUAAUACCCAAUGAUAUCUCAAGAAGACAUCUGAAUGAGAUUAAAGAUUUAUCGGUGAUGGAUGGGGAUGCGUCUGAUUAGCUUGUUGGCGGGGUAACCGCCCACCAAGGCGACGAUCAGUAGGGGUUCUGAGAGAAAGGUACCCCACAUUGGGAGUGAGACACGGUCCAAACUCCUACUGGAGGCAGCAGUGAGGAAUAUUGGUCAAUGGGCGAGAGCCUGAACCAGCCAAGUAGCGUGCAGGAUGACGGCCCUAUGGGUUGUAAACUGCUUUUAUAAGGGAAUAAAGUGAGUCUCGUGAGACUUUUUGCAUGUACCUUAUGAAUAAGGACCGGCUAAUUCCGUGCCAGCCGCCGCCGUAA